Molecule: ribosomal RNA, 497 nt
Filed under: uncultured bacterium
Lineage: Bacteria
Description: partial 16S ribosomal RNA
Rfam family: Bacterial small subunit ribosomal RNA
Source: RNAcentral
GAUGAACGCUGGCGGCGUGCCUAAUACAUGCAAGUCGAGCGAACGGACGAGAAGCUUGCUUCUCUGAUGUUAGCGGCGGACGGGUGAGUAACACGUGGAUAACCUACCUAUAAGACUGGGAUAACUUCGGGAAACCGGAGCUAAUACCGGAUAAUAUUUUGAACCGCAUGGUUCAAUAGUGAAAGACGGUCUUGCUGUCACUUAUAGAUGGAUCCGCGCUGCAUUAGCUAGUUGGUAAGGUAACGGCUUACCAAGGCAACGAUGCAUAGCCGACCUGAGAGGGUGAUCGGCCACACUGGAACUGAGACACGGUCCAGACUCCUACGGGAGGCAGCAGUAGGGAAUCUUCCGCAAUGGGCGAAAGCCUGACGGAGCAACGCCGCGUGAGUGAUGAAGGUCUUCGGAUCGUAAAACUCUGUUAUUAGGGAAGAACAUAUGUGUAAGCAACUAUGCACGUCUUGACGGUACCUAAUCAGAAAGCCACGGCUAACUACGUG